AAUUUCCUUUUUUCUUUAAUGCUGAUAAUUCUAAGAGACGGUCAUAGAAGACCGCGUUAAUAGUGCUCUAAGGGAGUCGUGGUUAUCCUCCUCUACUACACUCGUUUAUUCUUGAGCGGCACUCGGAAUCAGGAAACCCUUUGCAUUGUUCGCUAUGGCUCGUCGUGAGGACCAAUUCUCCCAACUUUGCUCAAAGGAAACCCUGGAAGAGCUGGUGCAGGAGCCAUUCUCCGUGCUCCAGAUAAUACUGUGAUCUUCUCUUCUCGCGAGGGUUUAGGCGUAGCUACAAACAACGUUGCUGAGUAUCGAGCUCUCCAAUCUUGGCCUCGAGUCUGCUCUUAACAACGGCUUUAGAAAUGUGCGCGUCCAGGGUGAUUCACAGCUUGUCUGUAAGCAGGUUCAAGGUGAAUGGGCAACCCGACACCCGAAAAUGACUGAGCUUUGUGGACAAGCACAGGAGCUUAUGAGUCAGUUUAAAUCAUGCGAUAUUCAACACGUUCCCAGGGAAUUCAAUUCAGUGGCUGAUGCUCAAGCUAGCCUUGCGACCAAUCUGGCUGAGGGUGAACGUCAAGAACAUACUACAGGCGGCUAUGGAAGAAGGGGAUACUAAUAUCCAAGUGGAGUAAUAUGCCUUUUCCUGUUUUCUUGUUUUUGGGAUCAUGACUUUUUUUAGCAUGUUGUGUGUUAACACGAUGAUGGACAUGCUCUUUCUCUCUCUUUUGCUUUGUCCCACGGCAUGUUGACUUCCCAAUCGUCUACUACUUAUUCUACUAGGGGCAAAGCCCCCGCGCAAGCGCGGAGCCGGAUAUAUUUUACAUGCUGUUGUAAUUUUAUGUAUGAAAUUUACUUGUUUGUAUUUUCUAAUAUUUUUCUCUGUGUUGUCUGUAAUAAUGAUGAAUAGAACAAUGAAA
Raphanus sativus (radish) is the source of this 911-nucleotide long non-coding RNA. RefSeq lists it as uncharacterized. The record is from RefSeq and is a predicted model, not a curated record. NCBI's taxonomy places the organism in Eukaryota, Viridiplantae, Streptophyta, Magnoliopsida, Brassicales, Brassicaceae. The transcript is spliced from 6 exons.